UCCGGUGGUCAAAACGGAGGGGAAACACCUGUUACCAUUCCGAACACAGAAGUUAAGCCUUCCAGUGCCGAUGAUACUACUUGUUUGUCCUGUGGGAAAGUAGGUCGCCGCCGGAU
RNAcentral lists this ribosomal RNA (116 nucleotides) under Candidatus Cloacimonadota bacterium. The record is from RNAcentral. Lineage: Bacteria; Pseudomonadati; Candidatus Cloacimonadota.